UCGGGAAUUUUGGGCAAUGGGCGAAAGCCUGACCCAGCAACGCCGCGUGAAGGAUGAAAUCCCUCGGGAUGUAAACUUCGCAAGAAUAGGAAGAAUGAACGAGCGCUAAUACCGUUCGUGAUGACGGUACUAUUUGUAAGCUCCGGCUAACUCCGUGCCAGCAGCCGCGGUAAUACGGGGGGAGCAAGCGUUGUUCGGAUUUACUGGGCGUAAAGGGCGCGUAGGCGGCCAGCGCAAGUCAGUUGUGAAAUCUCCGGGCUUAACUCGGAACGGUCAACUGAUACUGCGCGGCUAGAGUGCAGAAGGGGCAACUGGAAUUCUCGGUGUAGCGGUGAAAUGCGUAGAUAUCGAGAGGAACACCUGCGGCGAAGGCGGGUUGCUGGGCUGACACUGACGCUGAGGCGCGAAAGCCAGGGGAGCGA
RNAcentral lists this ribosomal RNA (422 nucleotides) under uncultured bacterium. RNAcentral describes it as "bacterial SSU rRNA". It matches the Rfam family "Bacterial small subunit ribosomal RNA", at positions 355 to 771 of the family's 1533-position model. The record is from RNAcentral.